UGGGGAAUCUUGCACAAUGGGCGAAAGCCUGAUCCAGCCAUGCCGCGUGAGUGAAGAAGGCCUUAGGGUUGUAAAGCUCUUUUGGCAGGGACGAUAAUGACGGUACCUGCAGAAUAAGCCCCGGCAAACUUCGUGCCAGCAGCCGCGGUAAUACGAAGGGGGCUAGCGUUGUUAGGAAUUACUGGGCGUAAAGCGCACGUAGGCGGGUUGUUAAGUCAGGGGUGAAAUCCUGGAGCUCAACUCCAGAACUGCCUUUGAUACUGGCAACCUAGAGACUGGAAGAGGUUAGUGGAAUUCCCAGUGUAGAGGUGAAAUUCGUAGAUAUUGGGAAGAACACCAGUGGCGAAGGCGGCUAACUGGUCCAGCACUGACGCUGAGGUGCGAAAGCGUGGGGAGCAAACAG
This 403-nucleotide ribosomal RNA is filed under the name uncultured bacterium. RNAcentral describes it as "bacterial SSU rRNA". It matches the Rfam family "Bacterial small subunit ribosomal RNA", at positions 355 to 775 of the family's 1533-position model. The record is from RNAcentral.